This 161-nucleotide ribosomal RNA is filed under the name uncultured gamma proteobacterium AL10b17. RNAcentral describes it as "partial 16S ribosomal RNA". It matches the Rfam family "Bacterial small subunit ribosomal RNA", at positions 340 to 493 of the family's 1533-position model. The record is from RNAcentral. Lineage: Bacteria; Pseudomonadati; Pseudomonadota; Gammaproteobacteria.
UACGGGAGGCAGCAGUGGGGAAUAUUGGACAAUGGGCGAAAGCCUGAUCCAGCCAUGCCGCGUGUGUGAAGAAGGUCUUCGGAUUGUAAAGCACUUUAAGUUGGGAGGAAGGGCUGUAAGCGAAUACCUUGCAGUCUUGACGUUACCGACAGAAUAAGCAC